Molecule: transfer RNA, 75 nt
Filed under: Diabrotica virgifera virgifera (western corn rootworm)
Lineage: Eukaryota; Metazoa; Arthropoda; Insecta; Coleoptera; Chrysomelidae
Description: transfer RNA tyrosine (anticodon GUA)
Rfam family: tRNA
About the family: Transfer RNA (tRNA) molecules are approximately 80 nucleotides in length. Their secondary structure includes four short double-helical elements and three loops (D, anti-codon, and T loops). Further hydrogen bonds mediate the characteristic L-shaped molecular structure. tRNAs have two regions of fundamental functional importance: the anti-codon, which is responsible for specific mRNA codon recognition, and the 3' end, to which the tRNAs corresponding amino acid is attached (by aminoacyl-tRNA synthetases). tRNAs cope with the degeneracy of the genetic code in two manners: having more than one tRNA (with a specific anti-codon) for a particular amino acid; and 'wobble' base-pairing, i.e. permitting non-standard base-pairing at the 3rd anti-codon position.
Source: RNAcentral
GAAAAGGGUAUAGCUCAGUGGUAGAGCGUUGGACUGUAGAUCAAGAGGUCCCCGGUUCGAAUCCUGGUGUUUUCU